CCUACGGGGGGCGGCAGUGGGGAAUAUUGGGCAAUGGGGGGAACCCUGACCCAGCAACGCCGCGUGAAGGAAGAAGGUUUUCGGAUUGUAAACUUCUGUCCUUGGUGAAGAGAAGAAGACGGUAGCCGAGGAGGAAGCCCCGGCUAACUACGUGCCAGCAGCCCCGGUC
Molecule: ribosomal RNA, 169 nt
Filed under: uncultured bacterium
Lineage: Bacteria
Description: partial 16S rRNA
Rfam family: Bacterial small subunit ribosomal RNA
Source: RNAcentral